AUAAUAGGACACAAUCUGACUUUUGUUUACAUUAAAAGACACAUUGUCUCCUUUGCACACUUUCUCUAGACAGCUGUCUUUUCUAUGACAUAAAUAACCUUGCUUUUUGUGUAAGGAGGAGUGUGUUUCUUUUAAGAAGGCUACCGUAAAGUGAAGAAGUAGAAACUAAGUUUGUCUUUAGUUACACAAUAAAUGAUAAAGGUUAAAAGAAAAAGGUAACUGUAUGGGAAAAAGUGAAUUGUUUAAGGACGUUAGAUCUAUUUAUAUGCAUAAGAUCUAAGGCUGAGAAUAUAGUUUAAAUAUUUGGAGAUGUGUUUGGUAAUGGGUGGAGUUCGUGGUGGACAAAAAGAAGAUGGUCGGAUUGGGGUUCUCAGGUGUAUUGUGGAUGGGACUCUCGUGGUUUGUGUGAUUGUUGUGGUGGUCAGAUGUGUUGUGGAUGGGACUCUUGUGGUUAGGGGGAGUGUUGUUGUGGUCGGGAGUGUUGUCGUCAAGGCUCUGGUGGCCAGUUUGUGAAUGGAUGCCGAUGUUGGCUUUAGUCUGGUGACAAUGCUAGUAUGAUCUUGUAGGCUUUAGUCUGGAUGGAGGUAGUGUUGUACAGCAUAUUAGUUAAUGAUAUGGGAGUGGCUUCCAAGUGAUUCUUCUUCCUCACAUACUCAGUUCGUGGAAUUAAAGUACAUGAAUAGACAUAAGCUGAAAGGCACAUUGAGAACAAAACAAAAGGUGUCUAUUAGGUGUAUCAUGUGUGGCGACAUGAGACGGGUUGUUGUGGUUGGGUGAGUUGUGGUCGGGUAAGUCAUGGUUAGGCGUCAGCUGUAUCCAUAUCCACCACCAUAGCAUCCACCAUCACGACAUCCAUAACCACCUCCUCCUCCUCACGUCUUCUACCUCCGUAUCUACAUCCGCCACCACGACAUCUACCAUCGCGGCAUCCACCACCACAAUCAGACAAUAAACUAACUUUUCAUAUAUGAAUCAGUUGCGAAGAGUCUCACGGGAAGACGGUGGUCUAUGGCGUCCUCUGCAGAAUCUGAAAAAAGGAAAAAUCGUUAAUGGUGGCUGUGGGUGGAAGAUGAAGGAACAACGGCGGCGGAGACAGAGUACGAAACGGAACUCACCUUCCAUGGCGGGUUUUUCUCAAUCAACGGUGGCUGGCUGUGGUUAAUGACGAAAUCAACUAUCGCCGGAGAGGAUCUGAUUUUUAGAAACUUGAUUACGGUUUGGCGAAGGUUUGAGUUUCUAGAUCUACAAGAAAUCGGGGGAGAGAUAAAACUAGGGUUUGUCUCUUGAAAUCUACAAAAUGAAAAAGAAAAAAAAAGAUAGACUCUUUCAAAAUUCAAGUAAAAAAUAUCUGAAAAUAUAUUAUUUGUUUUAUUUUUACUAGUUAGGAAAACCAAUUGUUCUGGUUAGAGAAUUCAUGAAACCCACUUUCACUAAGAGGUGAGGGUUAAGCUAGACAUUUCACUAAGAGAAAGUGUCCACUAAGACCAAAGUGUCUUAAAGUGUAAUUCAUAAGAUGAAUUGUGUCUGUGGGCGUAAAUAUUCUCUCCCGAGAGACUUACAUAAUAGGACACAAUCUGACUUUUGUUUACAUUAAAAGACACAUUGUCUCCUUUGCACACUUUCUCUAGACAGCUGUCUUUUCUAUGACAUAAAUAACCUUGCUUUUUGUGUAAGGAGGAGUGUGUUUCUUUUAAGAAGGCUACCGUAAAGUGAAGAAGUAGAAACUAAGUUUGUCUUUAGUUACACAAUAAAUGAUAAAGGUUAAAAGAAAAAGGUAACUGUAUGGGAAAAAGUGAAUUGUUUAAGGACGUUAGAUCUAUUUAUAUGCAUAAGAUCUAAGGCUGAGAAUAUAGUUUAAAUAUUUGGAGAUGUGUUUGGUAAUGGGUGGAGUUCGUGGUGGACAAAAAGAAGAUGGUCGGAUUGGGGUUCUCAGGUGUAUUGUGGAUGGGACUCUCGUGGUUUGUGUGAUUGUUGUGGUGGUCAGAUGUGUUGUGGAUGGGACUCUUGUGGUUAGGGGGAGUGUUGUUGUGGUCGGGAGUGUUGUCGUCAAGGCUCUGGUGGCCAGUUUGUGAAUGGAUGCCGAUGUUGGCUUUAGUCUGGUGACAAUGCUAGUGUGAUCUUGUAGGCUUUAGUCUGGAUGGAGGUAGUGUUGUACAGCAUAUUAGUUAAUGAUAUGGGAGUGGCUUCCAAGUGAUUCUUCUUCCUCACAUACUCAGUUCGUGGAAUUAAAGUACAUGAAUAGACAUAAGCUGAAAGGCACAUUGAGAACAAAACAAAAGGUGUCUAUUAGGUGUAUCAUGUGUGGCGACAUGAGACGGGUUAUUGUGGUUGGGUGAGUUGUGGUCGGGUAAGUCAUGGUUAGGCGUCAGCUGUAUCCAUAUCCACCACCAUAGCAUCCACCAUCACGACAUCCAUAACCACCUCCUCCUCCUCACGUCUUCUACCUCCGUAUCUACAUCCGCCACCACGACAUCUACCAUCGCGGCAUCCACCACCACAAUCAGACAAUAAACUAACUUUUCAUAUAUGAAUCAGUUGCGAAGAGUCUCA
Molecule: long non-coding RNA, 2550 nt
Filed under: Brassica napus (rape)
Lineage: Eukaryota; Viridiplantae; Streptophyta; Magnoliopsida; Brassicales; Brassicaceae
Description: long non-coding RNA (BNAP_LNC013803)
Source: RNAcentral